RNAcentral lists this ribosomal RNA (429 nucleotides) under Chloroflexota bacterium. Its description in RNAcentral is "Chloroflexi bacterium partial 16S ribosomal RNA". It matches the Rfam family "Bacterial small subunit ribosomal RNA", at positions 355 to 776 of the family's 1533-position model. Lineage: Bacteria; Bacillati; Chloroflexota. The record is from RNAcentral.
UGGGGAAUAUUGCACAAUGGGCGCAAGCCUGAUGCAGCCAUGCCGCGUGUGUGAAGAAGGCCUUCGGGUUGUAAAGCACUUUCAGCGGGGAGGAAGGCGUUAAGGUUAAUAACCUUGGCGAUUGACGUUACCCGCAGAAGAAGCACCGGCUAACUCCGUGCCAGCAGCCGCGGUAAUACGGAGGGUGCAAGCGUUAAUCGGAAUUACUGGGCGUAAAGCGCACGCAGGCGGUCUGUCAAGUCGGAUGUGAAAUCCCCGGGCUCAACCUGGGAACUGCAUUCGAAACUGCCAGGCUAGAGUCUUGUAGAGGGGGGUAGAAUUCCAGGUGUAGCGGUGAAAUGCGUAGAGAUCUGGAGGAAUACCGGUGGCGAAGGCGGCCCCCUGGACAAAGACUGACGCUCAGGUGCGAAAGCGUGGGGAGCAAACAGG